Molecule: ribosomal RNA, 2920 nt
Filed under: Staphylococcus aureus
Lineage: Bacteria; Bacillati; Bacillota; Bacilli; Caryophanales; Staphylococcaceae
Description: bacterial LSU rRNA
Rfam family: Bacterial large subunit ribosomal RNA
Source: RNAcentral
UUAAGUUAUUAAGGGCGCACGGUGGAUGCCUUGGCACUAGAAGCCGAUGAAGGACGUUACUAACGACGAUAUGCUUUGGGGAGCUGUAAGUAAGCUUUGAUCCAGAGAUUUCCGAAUGGGGAAACCCAGCAUGAGUUAUGUCAUGUUAUCGAUAUGUGAAUACAUAGCAUAUCAGAAGGCACACCCGGAGAACUGAAACAUCUUAGUACCCGGAGGAAGAAAAGAAAAUUCGAUUCCCUUAGUAGCGGCGAGCGAAACGGGAAGAGCCCAAACCAACAAGCUUGCUUGUUGGGGUUGUAGGACACUCUAUACGGAGUUACAAAGGACGACAUUAGACGAAUCAUCUGGAAAGAUGAAUCAAAGAAGGUAAUAAUCCUGUAGUCGAAAAUGUUGUCUCUCUUGAGUGGAUCCUGAGUACGACGGAACACGUGAAAUUCCGUCGGAAUCUGGGAGGACCAUCUCCUAAGGCUAAAUACUCUCUAGUGACCGAUAGUGAACCAGUACCGUGAGGGAAAGGUGAAAAGCACCCCGGAAGGGGAGUGAAAUAGAACCUGAAACCGUGUGCUUACAAGUAGUCAGAGCCCGUUAAUGGGUGAUGGCGUGCCUUUUGUAGAAUGAACCGGCGAGUUACGAUUUGAUGCAAGGUUAAGCAGUAAAUGUGGAGCCGUAGCGAAAGCGAGUCUGAAUAGGGCGUUUAGUAUUUGGUCGUAGACCCGAAACCAGGUGAUCUACCCUUGGUCAGGUUGAAGUUCAGGUAACACUGAAUGGAGGACCGAACCGACUUACGUUGAAAAGUGAGCGGAUGAACUGAGGGUAGCGGAGAAAUUCCAAUCGAACCUGGAGAUAGCUGGUUCUCUCCGAAAUAGCUUUAGGGCUAGCCUCAAGUGAUGAUUAUUGGAGGUAGAGCACUGUUUGGACGAGGGGCCCCUCUCGGGUUACCGAAUUCAGACAAACUCCGAAUGCCAAUUAAUUUAACUUGGGAGUCAGAACAUGGGUGAUAAGGUCCGUGUUCGAAAGGGAAACAGCCCAGACCACCAGCUAAGGUCCCAAAAUAUAUGUUAAGUGGAAAAGGAUGUGGCGUUGCCCAGACAACUAGGAUGUUGGCUUAGAAGCAGCCAUCAUUUAAAGAGUGCGUAAUAGCUCACUAGUCGAGUGACACUGCGCCGAAAAUGUACCGGGGCUAAACAUAUUACCGAAGCUGUGGAUUGUCCUUUGGACAAUGGUAGGAGAGCGUUCUAAGGGCGUUGAAGCAUGAUCGUAAGGACAUGUGGAGCGCUUAGAAGUGAGAAUGCCGGUGUGAGUAGCGAAAGACGGGUGAGAAUCCCGUCCACCGAUUGACUAAGGUUUCCAGAGGAAGGCUCGUCCGCUCUGGGUUAGUCGGGUCCUAAGCUGAGGCCGACAGGCGUAGGCGAUGGAUAACAGGUUGAUAUUCCUGUACCACCUAUAAUCGUUUUAAUCGAUGGGGGGACGCAGUAGGAUAGGCGAAGCGUGCGAUUGGAUUGCACGUCUAAGCAGUAAGGCUGAGUAUUAGGCAAAUCCGGUACUCGUUAAGGCUGAGCUGUGAUGGGGAGAAGACAUUGAGUCUUCGAGUCGUUGAUUUCACACUGCCGAGAAAAGCCUCUAGAUAGAAAAUAGGUGCCCGUACCGCAAACCGACACAGGUAGUCAAGAUGAGAAUUCUAAGGUGAGCGAGCGAACUCUCGUUAAGGAACUCGGCAAAAUGACCCCGUAACUUCGGGAGAAGGGGUGCUCUUUAGGGUUAACGCCCAGAAGAGCCGCAGUGAAUAGGCCCAAGCGACUGUUUAUCAAAAACACAGGUCUCUGCUAAACCGUAAGGUGAUGUAUAGGGGCUGACGCCUGCCCGGUGCUGGAAGGUUAAGAGGAGUGGUUAGCUUCUGCGAAGCUACGAAUCGAAGCCCCAGUAAACGGCGGCCGUAACUAUAACGGUCCUAAGGUAGCGAAAUUCCUUGUCGGGUAAGUUCCGACCCGCACGAAAGGCGUAACGAUUUGGGCACUGUCUCAACGAGAGACUCGGUGAAAUCAUAGUACCUGUGAAGAUGCAGGUUACCCGCGACAGGACGGAAAGACCCCGUGGAGCUUUACUGUAGCCUGAUAUUGAAAUUCGGCACAGCUUGUACAGGAUAGGUAGGAGCCUUUGAAACGUGAGCGCUAGCUUACGUGGAGGCGCUGGUGGGAUACUACCCUAGCUGUGUUGGCUUUCUAACCCGCACCACUUAUCGUGGUGGGAGACAGUGUCAGGCGGGCAGUUUGACUGGGGCGGUCGCCUCCUAAAAGGUAACGGAGGCGCUCAAAGGUUCCCUCAGAAUGGUUGGAAAUCAUUCAUAGAGUGUAAAGGCAUAAGGGAGCUUGACUGCGAGACCUACAAGUCGAGCAGGGUCGAAAGACGGACUUAGUGAUCCGGUGGUUCCGCAUGGAAGGGCCAUCGCUCAACGGAUAAAAGCUACCCCGGGGAUAACAGGCUUAUCUCCCCCAAGAGUUCACAUCGACGGGGAGGUUUGGCACCUCGAUGUCGGCUCAUCGCAUCCUGGGGCUGUAGUCGGUCCCAAGGGUUGGGCUGUUCGCCCAUUAAAGCGGUACGCGAGCUGGGUUCAGAACGUCGUGAGACAGUUCGGUCCCUAUCCGUCGUGGGCGUAGGAAAUUUGAGAGGAGCUGUCCUUAGUACGAGAGGACCGGGAUGGACAUACCUCUGGUGUACCAGUUGUCGUGCCAACGGCAUAGCUGGGUAGCUAUGUGUGGACGGGAUAAGUGCUGAAAGCAUCUAAGCAUGAAGCCCCCCUCAAGAUGAGAUUUCCCAACUUCGGUUAUAAGAUCCCUCAAAGAUGAUGAGGUUAAUAGGUUCGAGGUGGAAGCAUGGUGACAUGUGGAGCUGACGAAUACUAAUCGAUCGAAGACUUAAUCAA